Molecule: transfer RNA, 71 nt
Filed under: Bavayia ashleyi
Lineage: Eukaryota; Metazoa; Chordata; Lepidosauria; Squamata; Diplodactylidae
Description: tRNA-Trp
Source: RNAcentral
AGAAACUUAGGUUAGACAAAACCAAGAGCCUUCAAAGCCCUAAACAGAGGAAUAACACCCCCUAGUUUCUG